Molecule: ribosomal RNA, 1203 nt
Filed under: metagenome
Description: bacterial SSU rRNA
Rfam family: Bacterial small subunit ribosomal RNA
Source: RNAcentral
AGGGGUUCUGAGAGGAAGGUCCCCCACAUUGGAACUGAGACACGGUCCAAACUCCUACGGGAGGCAGCAGUGAGGAAUAUUGGUCAAUGGACGAGAGUCUGAACCAGCCAAGUAGCGUGCAGGAUGACGGCCCUAUGGGUUGUAAACUGCUUUUAUAAGGGAAUAAAGUGAGCCUCGUGAGGCUUUUUGCAUGUACCUUAUGAAUAAGGACCGGCUAAUUCCGUGCCAGCAGCCGCGGUAAUACGGAAGGUCCGGGCGUUAUCCGGAUUUAUUGGGUUUAAAGGGAGCGUAGGCCGGAGAUUAAGCGUGUUGUGAAAUGUAGACGCUCAACGUCUGCACUGCAGCGCGAACUGGUUUCCUUGAGUACGCACAAAGUGGGCGGAAUUCGUGGUGUAGCGGUGAAAUGCUUAGAUAUCACGAAGAACUCCGAUUGCGAAGGCAGCUCACUGGAGCGCAACUGACGCUGAAGCUCGAAAGUGCGGGUAUCGAACAGGAUUAGAUACCCUGGUAGUCCGCACGGUAAACGAUGGAUGCCCGCUGUUGGUCUGAAUAGGUCAGCGGCCAAGCAAAAGCAUUAAGCAUCCCACCUGGGGAGUACGCCGGCAACGGUGAAACUCAAAGGAAUUGACGGGGGCCCGCACAAGCGGAGGAACAUGUGGUUUAAUUCGAUGAUACGCGAGGAACCUUACCCGGGCUUGAAUUGCAGAGGAAGGAUUUGGAGACAAUGACGCCCUUCGGGGCCUCUGUGAAGGUGCUGCAUGGUUGUCGUCAGCUCGUGCCGUGAGGUGUCGGCUUAAGUGCCAUAACGAGCGCAACCCCUCUCCUUAGUUGCCAUCAGGUUAAGCUGGGCACUCUGGGGACACUGCCACCGUAAGGUGUGAGGAAGGUGGGGAUGACGUCAAAUCAGCACGGCCCUUACGUCCGGGGCUACACACGUGUUACAAUGGCAGGUACAGAGAGACGGUUGUACGUAAGUACGAUCAAAUCCUUAAAGCCUGUCUCAGUUCGGACUGGGGUCUGCAACCCGACCCCACGAAGCUGGAUUCGCUAGUAAUCGCGCAUCAGCCAUGGCGCGGUGAAUACGUUCCCGGGCCUUGUACACACCGCCCGUCAAGCCAUGAAAGCCGGGGGCGCCUAAAGUCCGUGACCGUAAGGAGCGGCCUAGGGCGAAACUGGUAAUUGGGGCUAAGUCGUAACAAGGUA